This 378-nucleotide ribosomal RNA is filed under the name Triticum aestivum (bread wheat). RNAcentral describes it as "partial small subunit ribosomal RNA". The record is from RNAcentral. Lineage: Eukaryota; Viridiplantae; Streptophyta; Magnoliopsida; Poales; Poaceae.
AUGACAAAUGUUACAACCAUGAACGACCCCGGCGACGAGGAAUGCUACAACUAUGGACAACAAAGGCUGCAACUGGCACCAUCAGAUGUUACGAUCGUUUUGUCAAGAAGUUGCAACCCACGACGCCUAGAGACGACGAUGCUACACCCUGCAUGGCGAGUUACAACCAGUGACGACGGCAGAAGCUUUUGCUGCAACCGUAUCGAUUUUUUGCUACUACCGGCGCUUUUUUCUGCAUCCAUUCAUGAACUCCCACAGUGCUUCACGGGAGGUGAGAUGUUGGUGGUGGGUGGCUGCGAACCACGACGGCGGCGACGAGCAGGACGACUAUCUAGCUUGAAGCGAGGGGCGGUGCGGUGCUGCGACCGGAGGCGAUAG